This 287-nucleotide unclassified non-coding RNA is filed under the name Glomus sp. RNAcentral describes it as "partial contains 5.8S ribosomal RNA and internal transcribed spacer 2". The stretch from base 1 to 65 matches the Rfam family "5.8S ribosomal RNA", at positions 84 to 154 of the family's 154-position model. The record is from RNAcentral. Lineage: Eukaryota; Fungi; Glomeromycota; Glomeromycetes; Glomerales; Glomeraceae.
GUGAAUCAUCGAAUUUUUGAACGCAAAUUGCACUCUCUUCGGAGAGUAUGCCUGUUUGAGGGUCAGCCUAAAAAAAAAUCGAAAUAGUAGCUGUUUUGGGGUGAGAUUAGUGGGAAAUUGGGCCAUUUUAAACCUUUGGGUUUUAAGGGAUUUAAAAUUUCUUUUACGAUCCAACGAACGUUUUUAAGAUUUAUUUUUUACAUGUUUAAGGUAAUCGAUUUUUAUUAGAUGUGGCAGUUGCAUCGGACCGCGUCAAUAAAUAUUUUGUUAACUGAGCUCAUAAAGGC